RNAcentral lists this unclassified non-coding RNA (2839 nucleotides) under Pogonomyrmex barbatus (red harvester ant). RNAcentral's name for it is "large neutral amino acids transporter small subunit 2, transcript variant X4". The record is from RNAcentral. Lineage: Eukaryota; Metazoa; Arthropoda; Insecta; Hymenoptera; Formicidae.
CCUCCCGGUAUUGUGCACGCAUCACACCGAUCAUGCUUUCUCACGGAGAAACAUGAUGAGCCUUCGUACGUGGCGGCACGCGCCGUGGACAUCUGAUUGAAGUUCACCGCGAGAUGCUGCGGGCUGAUACUCGCCCGCGAAAUCAUCGCACGGACGAUUCCCACGAUCGGCGAUCGACAAACUGAUUAAUGCAUUUGAUCAACGUCGCAAGAGCAUAAAGAAUUCUCUCCACAUGAACAAACGUUCAUGACAAAAUGCUCGCGUUAAUGACAGGAUAAUGUUACGCUAUUUGCAGUAUAGCGUUGCAAAGUAAAGAGAUGAAAGAAACGUGCUUUGUGACGGAAAUCUGAUCAUCGUAAAUUCGUCCUCUCUGCUGAACCAUGCAACAAUGUCAUUCGAUCAUUUUGCGACAACAAAAGCUGUGGUGUCAGCGUAAUGAGAAAGCAAAAUAGCAAAAAAUGCUGAAAUGCGAUUUCAAUGCGGUUAACUUUGGUAUUCGAUCAUUUAGCAUUUUAGAAGACAAAAAGAAGUGUACAAAAUAUCGACAGAGAAGAUUUAAAAAGUGGAUUUUUUUUAUUUUUAUCGCAUUUUUCGAUGCACUCUCAAAUAUAACCAGAGUCGUGAAGGAAAAAAAUGAUUUGAUCAUUGAUUUUCGGAGUCUUAUCAGCAGACUUCGACAAAAUUUCGGCAGCGUGAGCAUUUCCGCGCCAAUGGACGCGCGUGUUCGCGCGCAUCACCGCUAGCGUCGCGUCAGUUCGAUCGCCGAGCGGCGAAUCGCGUCGUUAUAAGGAGGAUACGUACAAGGCAGUGGUGAGAGUACCGGCGAGCGUUUGGUGAAGCAGCGCGCGGCAGUUCGGCAAUUACAAUCCGGCUCGUCGGUCGCGCACGUGUGUCCGUCGUGUAAGACGCUCCUCGCCACGUGGUGAUACGCGAGCGCGCGCGCGCGCGCGUCCCGAUUCUCUUUCUCUCUCUCUCUCUCUCUCUUUCUCUCAUCCUUCCUCUUUUUAUCCAUUCUACUUCCGGCAUCGCUUAUCUACCUCAGUUUCUAUUUCGCUCCACGUGUCUUACCGCGUUGCACGCGCCUCCGCGGGAAUGCCCACGCGGCACGUCGCGGCAUUCGACGCUCGAGUACUCCGAGUAGUCGUGUGGAAACGCGCGUGACAUUCGCACGCGUGCGCGCGCGUUCCGAUUUCACGGAGGAUUUUAAAUCCGCGAGGAUGCCGGAUAAGGUAGCGCCGGUGGAAAAGUCGAUCCUGCGGUCCCAGGCCGCGGGAUCCGACAACAGCGACGAAGUCAAGUUGAAGAAGGAGCUGGGUCUAUGGAACGGCGUGGCGAUCAUCGUCGGCAUCAUCGUCGGCGCCGGUAUCUUCGUGUCGCCCAAAGGCGUGCUUAGGAACAGCGGCAGCGUCGGCCAAGCUCUCAUUGUCUGGAUCUUUUCCGGUAUUCUGUCGCUGAUCGGAGCCCUAUGUUAUGCCGAGCUGGGUACGAUGAUCCCAAAAUCCGGCGGUGAUUAUGCAUACAUCAGUGAUGCCUUCGGACCUUUGCCGGCGUUUCUGUAUCUCUGGGUGGCUUUGUUCGUCCUGGUACCAACGGGAAAUGCAAUCACAGCACUCACGUUCGCACAGUACAUCCUACAGCCGAUGUGGCCCGGAUGCGAACCACCAUAUGAGGCAGUGCGAUUACUCGCUGCCGUAAUUACAUGUCUGUUAACCGUUAUUAACUGCUACAAUGUCAAAUGGGCGACCAGAGUGCAGGAUAUCUUCACCGGCACGAAGAUCUUCGCGCUAGUAAUCAUCGUAGUGACUGGUUUCUGGUGGCUCUGCAUGGGCCAUACGGAGAACUUCCAACAUCCGAUGGCUGGAACUAACACCCAGUCCGGUUACAUCGCUUUGGCAAUCUAUUCCGGAUUAUUCUCUUACUCGGGCUGGAAUUACCUCAACUUCGUGACGGAGGAACUCAAAGAUCCUUACAAAAAUCUUCCAAAGGCGAUUUGUAUAUCAUUACCGCUUGUGACAGUGAUCUAUGUUUUCGCGAAUAUCGCCUACUUCGUCGUACUCACGCAGGAUGAAAUACUCGCGUCGAAUGCCGUCGCUGUUACCUUUGGUGAUAAACUAUUGGGCGUUAUGUCGUGGAUUAUGCCGUUCUUCGUGGCAUGUUCGACUUUCGGAGCAUUGAAUGGCGCGAUCUUCGCGUCAUCUAGGUUGUUCUUUGUCGGCGCCCGAAACGGACACCUCCCCACUGCCAUUGCCCUCAUUAACGUCCGCAAUUUGACGCCGAUGCCAUCCCUCAUCUUCCUUUGCAUUAUCACCCUGAUACUCCUCAUCAUAGAGGACGUCUACGUACUGAUAAAUUAUGUCAGCUUCGUUGAGGCUCUAUUUACUACACUCUCCGUAUCUGGUCUGUUGUGGCUACGUUACAAAAAGCCCGAUCUCCAACGUCCGAUAAAGGUUUCCAUAAUUUUGCCAAUCAUUUUCUUCAUAAUCUGUGCAUUCUUGGUCACCUUUCCGUGCUAUGUCUCGCCAUGGGAAGUAGGCAUAGGCAUAAUCAUAAUCUUGUCUGGUAUUCCUGUGUACUGUAUCUUCAUCGAUUGGAAAACGAAGCCCGACUGGCUUGUCAAUGCAUCCCAUAAAUUUAAUGUGAUAUGUGCAAAGCUAUUCAUGUGCGUUCCUGUGCAAGAAGAAAAGACCGAAUGAAUGUACGACUCAUUGUGAUCGGAAAAUUUCAAAUUGUGACACCCGAAUUUAAAAGUGCAUUUUGCACACGUGGUACUUUUUCCUAGAUCAAAACAAUGCUCACCUGUCCCUUUACAACACUGGCCGCAAAUUGCAUGAUCAUUGAU